AAGACCUUGCGCUUUUGGAGCGGCCGAUGCCUGAUUAGCUUGUUGGUAAGGUAAAAGCUUACCAAGGCUUCGAUCAGUAGCUGGUCUGAGAGGACGACCAGCCACACUGGGACUGAGACACGGCCCAGACUCCUACGGGAGGCAGCAGUGGGGAAUUUUGGACAAUGGGGGCAACCCUGAUCCAGCCAUGCCACGUGAGUGAAGAAGGCCUUCGGGUUGUAAAGCUCUUUCAGCCGGAACGAAACGGUUACGGUUAAUACCCGUGACUACUGACGGUACCGGAAGAAGAAGCACCGGCUAACUACGUGCCAGCAGCCGCGGUAAUACGUAGGGUGCGAGCGUUAAUCGGAAUUACUGGGCGUAAAGCGUGCGCAGGUGGUUUUGUAAGUCAGAUGUGAAAGCCCCGGGCUCAACCUGGGAACU
Molecule: ribosomal RNA, 423 nt
Filed under: uncultured bacterium
Lineage: Bacteria
Description: bacterial SSU rRNA
Rfam family: Bacterial small subunit ribosomal RNA
Source: RNAcentral